RNAcentral lists this unclassified non-coding RNA (252 nucleotides) under Hevea brasiliensis (rubber tree). The record is from RNAcentral. Lineage: Eukaryota; Viridiplantae; Streptophyta; Magnoliopsida; Malpighiales; Euphorbiaceae.
GAGAUUAUACAAAUCCAGCAAAUCUUUAAUGGUUGGUUGACCAGGAGCAGAUACUAUUCCUGCCUCGAUUGAACCAAAAGUGAGAAAUCCUCCAUAUUUUGCUGUGAGUAUCCUUGACAUCAAGCCUCUCUCACCCAUAACAAGUCCUAUCAUUGGGACUUGCGAAUGCACAAGCACAUGAAACAUCCGUGCAUUGUCUGUGAUGUCUAAAGCUGUUGUUGCAAUCUUCACUAUAUCAGCUCCUGUGGCUUG